Molecule: small RNA, 500 nt
Filed under: uncultured Glomus
Lineage: Eukaryota; Fungi; Glomeromycota; Glomeromycetes; Glomerales; Glomeraceae
Also listed under: 1 other name
Description: SSU rRNA
Rfam family: Eukaryotic small subunit ribosomal RNA
Source: RNAcentral
CCAAUAGCGUAUAUUAAAGUUGUUGCAGUUAAAAAGCUCGUAGUUGAAUUUCGGGAUCAAUUAAUUGGUCGUGCCUCUGGUACGUACUGAUUUUAUUGGUUUCUCCCUUCUGACGAACCAUGAUGUCAUUAAUUUGAUGUCGUGGAGAAUCAGGACUGUUACUUUGAAAAAAUUAGAGUGUUUAAAGCAAGCUAACGCUUGAAUACAUUAGCAUGGAAUAAUGAAAUAGGACGUUUGAUCCUAUUUUGUUGGUUUCUAGGAUCGACGUAAUGAUUAAUAGGGAUAGUUGGGGGCAUUAGUAUUCAAUUGUCAGAGGUGAAAUUCUUGGAUUUAUUGAAGACUAACUACUGCGAAAGCAUUUGCCAAGGAUGUUUUCAUUAAUCAAGAACGAAAGUUAGGGGAUCGAAGACGAUCAGAUACCGUCGUAGUCUUAACCAUAAACUAUGCCGACUAGGGAUCGGAUGAUGUUAAUUUUUUAAUGACUCAUUCGGCGCCUUACG